This 789-nucleotide ribosomal RNA is filed under the name uncultured bacterium. RNAcentral's name for it is "bacterial SSU rRNA". It matches the Rfam family "Bacterial small subunit ribosomal RNA", at positions 8 to 796 of the family's 1533-position model. The record is from RNAcentral.
AGAGUUUGAUCAUGGCUCAGGAUGAACGCUAGCGGCAGGCCUAAUACAUGCAAGUCGAACGGGCUGGAGUAGCAAUACUCCAGUUAGUGGCGCACGGGUGCGUAACGCGUAUGCAACCUACCUUUUAUUGGGGGAUAGCCCGAAGAAAUUCGGAUUAAUACCGCAUAAUAUCAUUUGAGGGCAUCUGAGGAUGAUUAAAGCUACGGCGAUAAAAGAUGGGCAUGCGUGUCAUUAGCUAGUUGGUUGAGGUAACGGCUCACCAAGGCGACGAUGACUAGGGGUUCUGAGAGGAUGAUCCCCCACACUGGUACUGAGAUACGGACCAGACUCCUACGGGAGGCAGCAGUAGGGAAUAUUGGGCAAUGGCGGAAACGCUGACCCAGCCAUGCCGCGUGCAGGAUGAAGGCCUUCUGGGUUGUAAACUGCUUUUAUCUAGGAAGAAAAUACUCUUGCGAGAGGAACUGACGGUACUAGAUGAAUAAGCACCGGCUAACUCCGUGCCAGCAGCCGCGGUAAUACGGAGGGUGCAAGCGUUGUCCGGAUUUAUUGGGUUUAAAGGGUGCGUAGGCGGCUUCAUAAGUCCGUGGUGAAAGCCAACAGCUCAACUGUUGAACUGCCAUGGAUACUGUGAGGCUUGAGUACAGACGAGGUAGGCGGAAUGGAUCGUGUAGCGGUGAAAUGCAUAGAUACGAUCCAGAACUCCGAUUGCGAAGGCAGCUUACUAGGCUGUAACUGACGCUGAGGCACGAAAGCGUGGGGAGCGAACAGGAUUAGAUACCCUAGUAGUCC